GGGCCGUUAGCUCAGCUGGUAGAGCACUCGGCUUUUAACCGAAUGGUCGACAGUUCGAAUCUGUCACGGCCCACCA
Molecule: transfer RNA, 76 nt
Filed under: Gammaproteobacteria bacterium
Lineage: Bacteria; Pseudomonadati; Pseudomonadota; Gammaproteobacteria
Also listed under: 1 other name
Description: tRNA-Lys
Rfam family: tRNA
About the family: Transfer RNA (tRNA) molecules are approximately 80 nucleotides in length. Their secondary structure includes four short double-helical elements and three loops (D, anti-codon, and T loops). Further hydrogen bonds mediate the characteristic L-shaped molecular structure. tRNAs have two regions of fundamental functional importance: the anti-codon, which is responsible for specific mRNA codon recognition, and the 3' end, to which the tRNAs corresponding amino acid is attached (by aminoacyl-tRNA synthetases). tRNAs cope with the degeneracy of the genetic code in two manners: having more than one tRNA (with a specific anti-codon) for a particular amino acid; and 'wobble' base-pairing, i.e. permitting non-standard base-pairing at the 3rd anti-codon position.
Source: RNAcentral